This 28326-nucleotide long non-coding RNA is filed under the name Ananas comosus (pineapple). RNAcentral describes it as "long non-coding RNA (ACOM_LNC016593)". Lineage: Eukaryota; Viridiplantae; Streptophyta; Magnoliopsida; Poales; Bromeliaceae. The record is from RNAcentral.
AGGAGAAUCUUCUAGGGUAAAUUCCAUUGUACCUCCUGAAUUUUUGGCGAAGUUUCAUUUUAUCUCUCGAACUCCUAAAAUGGACUUCUAAUACCCUAAACUCUAAUAUUUCAUUCAUGUUACCUCUUUCGUCAGUUUUCUGUCAAGCUCAGUUAACCGGAAACUGACGGAGGGGUAAAACGAAUGAAAUAUUAGAGUUUAGAGUGUUAGAUGUCUAUUUUAGGAGUUUGAAGGGCUAAGUGAAACUCGCCAAAAAUUUAGGAGGUGACAGUACAAUUUACCCCCUAGGGAUUCUUGACUAUAAAUUAUUUUAUUAUAAUAUGUUACUUAUGGAUUGACCUUUAAUUCUUAAGUUAGUGAUCAUGGUUGAUUUUUAAUUUAUAUAUAUUUUUUAUUCUAAAAUAAAUCAUACCAUAAUUUAUCAUACAUUUUAUUGUAAUAAAAUAAAAAUAAAAAAAAUAAAUUAGAGCGGCUUAAAGAUAAGAAAAGAGCGAUACUAACUACUUACGAUACUCGAACACUCUACUGUCCUGAUGUACUUGCUAAUAUGGUUGAUUUACAAUAGGUGUCCUCACUCGGAUAUAGAGAUUUUAAUUUUCAAUUAAUUUUCUGUAAUACUCAUUUGUCCCUUUUAUCUAUAGAAGUAUUGUUCUAAAAAAUACACUUAUUUUUUAUGAAACUAUAAAAUAUAAUUUUAUUGUAGCCUAAAAUAAAAUUUUUGUACUUCAUUUCAGCCAAUUAAAAAUUUUUAAUAUAAAAAUUUAAAACAAUAUUUUAUUAGAAAAUGCACUUAUUUCCUAUGAAACUAUGUAAUGUAAUGUUAUUGUAGUCUAAAAUAAAAUUUUUGUACUUCAUUUCAGCCAAUUAAAAGUUUUUAAUAUAAAAAUAUAAAAUAAUAUUUUAUAAUAUUUUAGAACAAUGCUUCUAAAGAUAAACGGGACAAACGAGUACUAUAGAAAAUUAACUGAGAAUUAAAAUCUCUAUAUCUGAGUGAGGACACCUAUUGUAAAUCAACCAUAUUAGCAAGUACACCAGGACAGUAGAGUGUUCAAGCAUCGUAAGUAAUUAGUAUCGCUAUUUUCUUAUCUUUAAGCCACUCUAAUUUAUUUUUUUUAUUUUUAUUUUAUUACAAUAAAAUGUAGGAUAAAUUAUGGUAUGAUUUAUUUUAGAAUAAAAUAUAUAUAUAAAUUAAAAAUCAAACAUGAUCACUAACUUGAGGAUUAGUAGUCAAUCCAUAAGUAACAUAUUAUAAUAAAAUUGUGAGAUCCCUGGUGUUUGACUGUGGAGGCUUGUCGACAGCUCUGGAGAGUGUCGGGAUAAGUCCGAGUCGCGUUGGCGUCAAAUAGACGCAAAACGGAUUCCGUGCGACGUGAGGGCAACUUUCAGCGAAGAAAAUCUGCAAAUUGCAGUUUUUCUGCUUGCUGUACCGGUACAGCCAUUAAGGUGUACCGGUACACUGCACUAGGCCGCGCGCGGGUUGCUCUCGGGUUGGCUCCUGUACCGGUACGCGAUCCCGUGUACCGGUACACCAGGGUAGGUGAGAGGGUGUUUUGAUCUUUUCUCUCUCUCGUUUGUAUCACCAGCCCUCCCUCUCUCUAUUUAGCCAUGUGAGGACAGAGAGAGGGAGUUCCUCUGCUGCUACUUCCUCUCUCUCACUCUCAAACCGAUCAUAGGCUAGGGAGGAGCUCGGUUGGGGAAUUCGUCGCCUACGUCGCGCCGCGAAGCCAUUCGAGCACACUUUCGACGUCGUGUUGCUGCGAGGAGGUCGGGCGAGUGCGGCUUUUCGCCAUCCUUGACGUCGUGCUGAUUCUAGGUACAUGUUGAAGUGUUUUACCUGUGGGCAUUCCUCCAAGUACUUCAAUUCCAUUAAUAUCGAGCUCGGAUGCUACUGCUGCAGAUUUCUGCGUCGACUGUCGGUAUUUUGGCUCGUACGCGACGUAGGAGCAUCGGAUUGCGACGAGACUUGGUUUGUUGGAUUCGGGACUUCGAGAGGAAUCCACAAAGCCCUUACUUGCGAAGCCCUUACUUGGAAAUUGAAUUAGGAGAAAACCUGCGAUUUGGACCUGUCACCUGUUUAAACUGCCUGAUUUAGCUCUAGGAGUCGUUAUAAAAUUAUACUGUCGCAGUAUCCUCAAGACGAGUACUCCAGGUAGUUUAGAAUACAUUUACGCUCGUGCUGGUAUGCCGAGUGGAUUUUUACAGGGUCGUUCAGGUUGUUCCGGACUGUUGGGUGCCGUCAGAUUUGACGGUGGACCCGUAUCACCUUUUUGGCGUCAGAUUGUGCCGAGGGCACGUUACCUGUUGGUUGUUAGACCAGUUUGAGUCGGUUACUUGACUUUGGCUAUUGAGAGCCUGAUUGAGCUCGACAGAGAUACGCUGCAUACUCGGUUGGGUAGCGCCCACGAGUGCCACUCCGGAGACGGGCUUUGUGCUUUCGCGUUGGUGUCGCUCAUGCCAGUUGGACUUGCUCUCCACGGACCAGUUAGUGUGGAGGUAGCUGGACAGUCGCAACGGGGCAGGGACGGGUAUAUUCACAGUCCCGGAGACGGGUAUGCUUACAGUCCCGAUUGGAUUUGGUCAGUUUUGACAUUUCCUACAGUUGGUUAGCGUAGAGCAUGAUAGUGUAGUGAUUGAUAGCGGUAGAGUGUACUUCCUGCUUUUCCUACUAUCCUUACUCCCUUCUGUAGACUUAGUGGGUGACCGAUGUUGUUUUGGGCGGUACCCACUGAGGACUACUUAUUUUUGCUGUAGUUCUCAUGCCCAGUUGUUACUCUUGUUUUGCAGAGCCACAGAUUUCGGCUGCUGCGCCUUCCGUGGAUCAGGAUCGAGGCAAGGGCGUCGCGAGCUAGAGCCCUACCCGACUGACAGAGCUAGAGGCACCCCUACUGCAGGUAGAUGUUUUGUCUGAGUUUAUGUACAUAGCUUACUUAACCUGCCAGUGCGGGUAACUCUGUAUUUUGGACUUGGACUAUGUAUAUGAAACUCAGUUGUUUAGCUUCUGUUUAUUGAGCAGCUCUAUGCUACUGUUUGUAGUAUUAUAUAUCUACAGGUACUUUUGACGCUUCGUAUACAGGGGAAAGUCCUUUGCAUACGGCGGAUUUGUCGGCGUGCCCGGGGAACGAGACAUCCGGGGCGUGAUAGAUUAAGUUGGUAUCAGAGCUUUGCUAUAGGUCGUUGGGACCUAGGAAACCCUAAGUUGGCAAACCUUAGGAAGUAAGACGCGAGAGGCGUAAUUUAAUUGCGAAAGUCAAUGAUUAUUUGUUCUAACUCCUCCUAGAGUGGAGUGAGUGACUGAAGGAGUUCCUGUUUUGGCCUGAGAAAUUAUGUUGGCUGCAGACGACAUAAUUUUGGAGGAAAAGAGGGACCCGCCUUCCAGACUUUUGUUGAUUGGGUCGAGAGUGUUGUGUUGUAUCUGACCCCGAUUUGUUCCUUUCAGCAAUGUAUCGUCGCCGAGGUCGACCGUCGUUGCGGGAGCGUGCCCAGUUGGUGCGGGAUCGUGCAGAAUCUCCCGAGAGACUUGAGCAGAUGGAGCAGAGUGACAGACCGGAGGCGAGCGCACCCCCUGUUGUAGAGCCGAGUGUGCGACCUGAGGCUCGCGCACCCCCUGAUCUGAGUGCACAGUUGGCUGCCCUGACUGAGGUGACGAGGCAGCAGGGGGAGUUGUUGCAGAGGUUGUGUGAGAGGGUGGCUCAGACACCGAGUGCUGCACCGAGAGUACUAGAGCAGACUGUUCCACCACUGACUACCCCAGCGUCAGCUCCAGCCGCAGCUAUGCCCCCACCAGUGGAGCUUCCUACAGCGCCAGUUGCGCCUGCUAGGGGACCCGUACAGUUGACUGAGGCCGAGCAGGAGUGGUGGACUGAGAGGUUGGCUCGCUUUCGUCGUUUUGAUCCACCGAUUUACGAUGGCAGGUGCACUGAAGCCUGGGUUGUUGAGGGAUGGGUUAGUGCAAUGGAGAAACUAUUUGAGGAUCUGUUUAUUCCAGAAGGGGAGCAGGUACCUCUGGGAGUACACUGUUUAGCAGGUGAUGCGCAUGACUGGUGGCGGAGGGCGAGACGAGACCAGGGGCUGGUGGCGACGCAGUUGAGGUGGGAUGAGUUCUGUGGAAUGCUGUUUGGGAUGUUCUUUCCCAACAGUGUGAAGCAGAAGCUCGAGGAGGAUUUGAGGAGGCUUCAGCAGGGAGACCGCCCAGUGCAGGAGUACGUUCAAGAGUUUACUCGACUCCUGAACUGUGUACCAUUUGCGGCCAGAGACGAGGCGCACAGGGUGUACAUGUUCGAGCAGGGGCUGAGACCGGAUAUCUUUAGGUUGACUCGGACACAGAGGUCGAGGACUCUGGAUGCGUCUAUAGAGCAGGCCUUGUGGGUGGAGCGAGGGGAGACAUCGCUGUAGGAGAGGACUCAGGCCGUGGGGCAGAGUCAGGACAGGAAGCGCCCAGCUCCAGAUGACGGAGGUCAGUCGAGUAGCAGGCGUCCACCGAGGCCUCCGCGAUUGCGUUCACAGGGUCGAGGGUCCUCGGGGCGUCAGCGAUCCAGGGACUCUCGUCAGAGGGGACAGCCAGAGAGAAAGCCGCAGUGUGUGAUCUGCGGAGGACCACACUGGCCAAGACAAUGUGAGCAGAGGGAGGGCCGGUGCUACGGGUGUGGUCAGCUGGGACACAUGAGGGCAGCUUGUCACCGAGCAGCAUCUCCAGCACCAUCAUCAGCUUCGGCUCCACCAGCACCUCAGCAGACUUACAGAGCAGCACCGAGUUACCGCCAGGAGGAUAGGUCGUCCAUGCCGCGACAGGGUGAGCGGCGACAGCAGGCUCCGAGUGGCAGAGUCUAUGCAGCUCAGGUGGAGGACUCUACAGCAGCCGACCGAGUAGUGGCAGGUAUCACUUUGAUUUCCGGCAUUCGUACUCGUACUCUUUUUGAUACUGGAGCCUCGCAUUCUUUUGUUAGCCGAGCAUUUGCAUUGUUGCAUGGUCUAGAUUAGGGGCAUUGUCACAGGCACGAGAGGUGCAGAUCCCGGAUCAUGUUUUACAGGUUGUAGAGUGUUGUUGGUCGUGUCCGGUGCAAUUGGAUUCGUGGGUCAUGCCCGCAGAACUGUUGGUGCUAGGGCAGCUGCAGGACUUCGACGUUGUGCUCGGUAUGGAUUGGCUGGCGCGGUACUAUACUACUAUUGAUUGUGGAGCGAGGACUGUGACAUUCCGCGAGCCAGGCCAGGAGGAGUUUACUUUUAGAGGCUACAGGAGCACAUUGUUUGCCACCUGGAUAUCUUCGGCGAGGGUUCGACAGAUGCUGAGUAGUGGGUGUAUCGCUUUCCUAGCGACUGUUGUGGAGGUACCUACGGCGGCACCGGGACUCGAGGACAUUCCAGUAGUCCGCGAGUUUCCGGAUGUGUUUUCCCCUGAGUUGACGACAUUGCCGCCGGAAAGGGAGAUUGAGUUUGUGAUUGAUGUAGUUCCUGGAACUGCACCAAUCUCAAAGGUACCUUAUCGGAUGGCGCCGGCAGAGCUGAGAGAGCUAAAGGCACAGCUUCAGGAUCUGAUGGAUAGAGGGUUUGUGAGACCCAGUGUAUCGCCUUGGGGAGCGCCAGUGCUAUUUGUAAAGAAGAAGGAUGGUUCACUCAGGUUAUGUGUGGAUUACCGGGAGCUAAAUAAAGUGACCAUUAAGAAUAAGUAUCCCUUGCCGCACAUUGAUGAUUUGUUUGAUCAGCUGCAGGGAUCUUAUGUCUUCUCGAAAAUUGAUCUCCAGUCAGGUUACCACCAGGUGAUGGUGAGGGUGAGGGUCGAGGAUGUUCCCAAGACGGCUUUUCGGACUCGGUACGGGCAUUAUGAGUUCACAGUGAUGCCUUUUGGAUUGACGAAUGCCCCUGCCGCAUUCAUGGAUUUGAUGAACAGAGUGUUCAAGCCGUUCUUGGAUAGAUUUGUGGUAAUCUUCAUCGAUGAUAUCCUGAUAUACUCCCGGAGUGAUGCUGAGCAUGAGGAGCACUUGAGGAUUGUGCUACAGCUUCUGCGAGAGAAGAAGCUGUAUGCCAAGUUGAAGAAGUGCGAGUUCUGGCUACGGAAGGUUGUUUUCUUGGGCCACGUGAUUUCAGCCGAGGGCGUAGCAGUGGACCCGAAGAAGAUUGAGGCAAUUCGAGAUUGGCCUAGACCGACGACGGUGACUGAGGUACGGAGUUUCUUGGGACUGGCAGGAUAUUACUGUCGAUUUGUGGAAGGCUUUGCGAAGCUUUCCACACCCCUCAUACGCUUGACGCGGAAGGGGAUUCGAUUUGUCUGGAGCGAUGACUGUUAGAGGAGCUUUGACGAGUUGAGAUUGAGGUUGACAUCGGCUCCUAUCCUUGCCCUUCCAGUGAUGGAGGAUGGAUUCGUGAUCUACAGUGAUGCAUCGCACAGUGGACUUGGUUCCGUACUGAUGCAGCAUGGUAGGGUGAUUGCUUAUGCUUCACGGCAGUUAAAAGAUUAUGAGAAGAAUUACCCUACGCAUGACUUGGAGCUUGCCGCGGUGGUUUUUGCUUUGAAGCUCUGGCGGCAUUACUUGUACGGCGAGCACUGCGAGGUCUUCACCGAUCAUAAAAGUCUCAAGUAUCUGUUCACACAGAGGGAGCUGAACCUGAGGCAGCGCCGGUGGUUGGAGUUACUGAAGGAUUAUGACAUUAGUAUUCAGUAUCAUCCGGCACGGCGAAUGUGGUAGCAGAUGCGUUGAGCAGGAAGUCAGUGCAGAGCCUGACUUUGAGGAUUACUGAGCAGAGACCCCUACUCGAGGAGCUACAGCGGCUGGGACUCGAGAUAGUACCUACCCCCUGGGUCUACGGCGAGGCUGACGUCUCUUUUGUUACAGCCCACUCUAUUGGAUAGGAUCCGAGAGAAACAGAGUGGAGAUCCGUACUUGUUGAGGAUUAGAGAGCAGCUAGACAGGGGGCAGGCUGAGGGAUUUGCUUUGGACGGUUCGGGAGUACUACGGUACAGGGACCGACUGUGUGUGCCUGUGUAUUUUGAGAUUCGAGCAGAUAUUUUGAGAGAGGCUCAUUGCUCCCCUUAUACGGUUCACCCUGGGGGAACCAAGAUGUAUAAGGAUCUUAAGACACGAUUCUCGUGGCCUGGAAUGAAGAGGGACAUUGGCAGAUAUGUGGCUCAGUGUUUGACUUGCCAACAGGUGAAGGCCGAGCAUCAGGUGCCUGCUGGCAAGCUUCAAAGUCUGCCAGUGCCCGAGUGGAAAUGGGAGUGCAUCACGAUGGACUUCGUCGUUGGAUUGCCUAGAGCGCAGGGUGGCUACGACGCGAUUUGGGUGAUAGUGGACAGACUGACCAAGUCUGCUCACUUCCUACCGGUUCAGACUACCUGGUCCAGGGAGAGACUCGCGCAGCUAUACUUGGAUAAGAUCAUUAGGCUGCACGGCGUGCAAGUGUCGAUUGUAUCAGACAGAGACCCGAGGUUUGUAUCCCAGUUUUGGAGGAGUCUUCAGACAGCCUUGGGCACACAGCUGCAUUUUAGCACGGCAUUCCACCCACAGACAGAUGGUCAGUUAGAACGGACCAUACAGACUCUUGAGGACAUGCUGACGGCAUGCGUCCUGGAUUUUGGAGGAGGGUGGUAUCGACAUUUGAGACUGGUUGAGUUUGCGUACAACAACAGCUAUCAAACGAGCAUUCAGAUGGCUCCGUUUGAGGCGUUGUAUGGACGUAGAUGUCGAUCCCUCUAUUUUGGAGCGAUGUGGGUGAGCGUAGGACACUUGGACCGGACAUUCUACGUGAGGCUGAGGAAAAGGUGAGAGUCGUUCGACGACAACUUCUGACAGCACAGAGCCGACAGAGGAGCUACACCGAUACCAGGAGACGAGACUUGGAGUUUCAGGUUGGAGAUCAUGUCUUUCUCAAAGUCUCGUCGUCCAGAGGGAUACGCCGAUUUGGAGUACGUGGAAAGCUUAGUCCACGGUUUGUUGGCCCUUUCGAGGUAUUGGAGCGUAUCGGACCGGUUGCAUACAGGAUAGCUCUACCCCCGCGACUUGCUGGCAUCCACGAUGUUUUCCACGUCUCAGCAUUGAGGAGAUAUGUUUUCGAUCCCUCUCACGUGAUUGACUUCACUCCACUAGAGAUUGGUGAGGAUCUGAGAUACGAGGAGUGCUCGAGAGACGAAAGAAUUGCGCAACCGGGUCAUCCCGUAUGUGAAAGUGCAGUGGAGUAAUCAUGAUGAGCGGGAGGCGAUUUGAGCCUUAGACUGUGAUUAGGGAAGCUAUCCCUAUUUGUUUGAUGGCUAAGCAGAGGACGUUGCAGUUUCUGCGACCAGAAACUUUUUGUAGUGGGGAGGAUGUUGAAUCUCCUGGUGUUUGACUGUGGAGCUGGUCGACACGAUGCUGGAGAGUGUCGGUACAAGUCCGAGUCGGCGCGUUGGCGUCAAAUAGACGCAAAACGGACCGUCGCGUGCAACGCGAGGGCAACUUCAGUGAAGAAAAUUUACAAAUUGUUAGUUUUUCUUGGCUUCUGUAUCGUACAGGCCCAUUAAGUGUACCGUUACACUACUAACUGGCCAUCAGCCCGGGUUGCUCUCCUGGCUCCUGUACCGUACGCGAUCCCGUGUAACCGGUACACCCACGGUGUAGUGAGAGGUGUUGUUCUUUUCUCCCUGUGGUAAUCACCACUCCUCCCUCCUCCUUAUUUACCAUGUGAAGAUAUGAUAGAGGAGUCUCGCUGAAUACUUCCUCUCUCUCACUCUCAGACUCGAAUCAUGAGGCUAGGGAGACUCGGUUGGGAAAUUCGUCGCCAUACGGCAGCCGCGAAGCCAUUCGGAGCACACUUUCGACUCGGUGCUGCAGGAGGUCGGGCGAUUGCGGCUUUUUUCCGCCAUCCCUUGACGUCGGCGAUUUCUAGGUAACAUGUGAAUUGUUUUAAUCUGUGGCAUCUUCCUCCAUACUUCAUUUCCUAUUAACUUCGACUCGGGUGCUACUGCUGCAGAAUUUCUGACGUCGAUAUCGGUAUUUUUGGCUCGUACGCGACGUAGGAGCAUACUGAUUGUGAACGAGAACUUGUAUCGUUUGUGGAUUCGUGACUCGAGAGAAUCUACGAGCCUUACUUUCGAAUUUGUAAGGUUAGCUUGUCGAAAUCACUUCUCUCUCUGCUGCUUGGAUUUUGACUGAUUGAGGAUUUUUGGUGUUUUAGUUUGGAGUUUAGCUCGAAUUUCGAGACUGCGGGCAUUUUUGUGUGAAUCCACAGGUGUUCGCAGCCCGAGGGUUCCGUGCUGGCCAGGGAUUUAGGAAGUGCAGGUGUUACAUCGGUUUGACUCCUAGUCAUAAGCGUAACGACAUGUAUUACUCUCGAUUUUUGAUAAUCAUUAUAGCUCGAAUUUAUGAUUAUAUUGUAGUUACUUGAAAUCUUGAAUUUGGAGCACUUGGUAAUAAAUAGUAGGUUAUACCAUGUGGAACUUGGAAAUGAAAUUAGGAGAAAACCUGCUAUUUGGAACUGUCAGCCUGUUUAACUGCCUGAUUUAGCUCUAGAUCAUUUAUAUAAAUUGUACUUGUGUCUAUUCUCUCAGACAUAUCAGGUAGUUUAGAAAUACAUUUACGCUCGGCUGGCUGAUGCGAGUGGAUUUUUACAGGCUCUUUCAAGGUUGUUUUCCGGACUUUGGUGCCGUUCAGAGUUUGACCGGUGGAGCCCGUAUGAUUUUUUGGCGUCAAUUGUGCCGAGGGCACGUUACUUGUUGGUUGUUAGAGCAGUUUGAGUCGGUCUAACUUGACUUUGCUAUUGAGGACUGAUUGAGCUCGACAGAGAUACGCUGCAAUACUCGGGUUGGGUAGCCGCCCACUGAGUGCCACUGCCGAGACGGGCUUGUGGCUUUCGCUUGGUGUCGCUCAUUGCCAUUGGACUUGCUCAUCCACGGACCAGUUUAUGCUGGAGGUAGCUGGACAGUAGCCAAGGGGCAGGGACGGGGUACAUAACUCACAUCGGGGAUCGGAGUUAUGCUUCAGUCCGAUUACUUGUGUCAUUUUUGACAUUUCCUACAUUGGUUAGCGUAGAGCAGUGAUAUGAAGUGAUUGAUAGCGAUAGAGUGUACUUCCGUGCUUUUUCUACUAUCCUUGCUCCCUUCUUGUGACUUAGUGGGUGACGAUGUGUUUGGCGUACCACUGAGACGUACUGUUUUGCUUGUAGUUCUCAACGCCCAGUUGUUAUCCUUGUUUUGCAGAAGCCACAGAUUUCGCGCUGGCUGCGCCUUCCGUGGAUCAGGAUCGAGGCAAGGGCCGUCGCGAGCUAAGAGCCUACCCGACUGACAAGGCUAUAGCAUCCCCUAACUGCAGGUAGAUUUUUGUCUGAGUAUUAUGUACAUAGGCUUACUUAACACCGCCAGUGCGGGUAACUCUGUAUUUUGGACUUGGAUAUGUAUGAAUCAGUUGUUUAGCUUCUGUUUAUGAGCAGCUCUAUGUAUCUGUUUGUAGUAUUAUAUAUCUACAGGUACUUUGAGCCUUCGUAUACAUGGGGGAAAAGUCCUUUGCAUGUACGGCGGAUUUUCGCGGCCCGGGAACGAGACAUCCGGCGCGUGACAAAAUAAUUUAUAUCAAGAAUCCCUACAGGGUAAAUUUAAUGUUCUUUCCUGAAUUUUUGACGGAGUUCACUUAUCCCUUCAAACUCCAGUAAAAAUAGACCAUCUAUACACUGACUACAAUUCAAUAUUCAUCUCGUUUUACCCCUUCCGUCAUUUCCCGGUUACGGAGCUUGAUGGAAAAUAUGGAAGGGGUAACAUAAUGAAAUAUUAGAUUUUUAGGUUUAGGAUGGUCCAUUUUAGGAGUUCGAGAGGUAAAAUGAAACUUCCCAAAAUUUAGGGAUAAGCAGAGCACAUUUACCUCAAUUUUUUAUAUAAUGGAAUAAUUGAAACAACGUAAAAUGACGGGGUUGUAUUGUUAUUCUAUUUAUAUAACUUAUGAUAUUGAACGUUGGUAUUCCAUAGGUCGAAUCACACGUGCGCCAGUGCGGAGGCGGCGCAAGCGCGGCGCGGGCGGGCGCAGACGUUGCGAGCGGGUGGCGCGGGCGAGUGGACGAGCCGCAGGCAGAACAUUGAGCGGGCAGACGCGCUGUGCAACGCGGCCUCACGGCGCGAGUGCGAGCGGCAGCGCGCGGCGGCUGUGGCGGAGGCGCAGCCGUGCACGGGCGCGCCACAGGAGCGACCGGGGAAAAAAAAAAAAAACUACAGGCGCAGGGCUCACUUCCCCUUUUUGACGCGUCCCAACGAUGUGACGCAUCUCACCCUCUGACCACCUGAGGGAAGAGCAGUGGAUCUCUCUCUCUCCCUCUUUGAGAAUAUAUAUACUUAUAUUAAUAUAAUAUAAUUAAUAUAUAUAUAUAAUAUAUAUAUAUAUAUAUAUAUAUAUAUAUAAUAUAAACAACAUUCACACUCGACACUAUGAAUGGAGCCCACCUUUGUAGUUGUAAAAUUGUAUAGUAAUUAAAUAAUAAAAAUAUUAAACAUUCUCUUGUGUAUCUCAUUUGAUAUAUCACAAACUCACGACGAAAAUGAAUGGGCUCGCGCGCGCAUUAGUGAGAGAAGGAGGAACGGGGAUAUGAGGCGAUGUGUAUAAGCAAAAGAUAGUAGAAGAUAGAAGAAUUGAUGAAUAGAAUUGGAGAUAAAAAAUUAUAAAGUCUAGUGAAGGAAAGGAAAAAUGACCAUAAUGAAUAAUUGAGAUAGAAGAGGAUUAGGAUUGUAAGAUGGUAUGAGAAUUAUUUAAGCAAUACUAAUUGAAUAGUUGUAGUGAAUCGUUUGCAAAUGAAAGUAUAGUGAGGUAAUGGAAAGGCUAAUGAUAAUGUAGAUACAAACGAUAGAAUGAGUAGAUGAUAGUAAAUCAUUUAAAAUUAUUAUAUAUAUUUGAAAGUUUUGUUUAGUGAACCGUUAAAAGUCAAUUGAAGUGUAAGUGAGGGGAAGAAAAGAUCAAGAGUGACCAGUGAAGGGAAGAAAUUAAAACUGCCAUGUGCGGAACAAACAUUGGAAUUCAUGUAGUUAAAUAGUAUAUAAUAAUAUAUAGUAUAUAUAUAUUAUAUAUAUAUUAAGUAUAUAUAUAAUAUUGAGAAUCAACAAAAAGAUAGUAUUUUUACUUUAAUUAAUUUUUUUAUUUUUUUUAUUUGUAAGUUCUACACAGAUAAUAAUAAAAAAAUAUUAUGUACUUUUUAAAUAUUACAAUGAGCUUUUUAUUUAUUUUAAACCGGUUUAUUUAUUUUAGACCCACUUAUAUCUCUCUCUCUCUUUUGUUUUUUUUUUUUUUCUAACCCUUCUUAUUUUAGAGUGGUAUUGACCACAUACAAAAUAUAAAUUUAAAUUUAAAUUUAAACUUUAUUAUUAAUGAUUUUUGAAUGCGUUGCUUAGCUUUAUAUAUUUAGUUAGUAAAUUUUAUGUAAUUGUUGUAAUUAAAUAUAUUUUUUAAAAAAUUUAAUUGUAGUGUUUUUAUAAAAAUGGAUUAUUUAUAUCUAAAUAAUUAUAAAAUUAAAAUUAAUAUUUAAUACAUACAAUCUAAAAUAUUUAAAAAUUAUGCAUAAAUAAUUAUACAUUUUAAAGUUUUAUUAUAAUUAAAACACAAACUUAUGAAUUUACAAUCUGAACCCGAACAGGUGUUAAGAUCAGCAUUAUUAUUUGUAAUCAAAACUUGCAUAUUUGAUACAAUUGAUCGUAUGUGAAAAUGUUUUUAAAACUUUCUUAUUUAAUUAACUAAAAUGUAUUAUUAUUUACUUUAUAAAAAAUAUAUUUAAUUAUUUAUUAAUUAUUUAAAAAUAAGAUAAAUGAAUCCGUUGCGUAGCACGAGUUCCUUAACUAGUUAUUAUUAUUAUUUUGAGAGCUAAAAAGGUUCGGCCUUUGUGAGUUCUUGGUGUUGGAUUAAUAAUGUGAAUAGGGCUUUUUCCAAUAAGAUCGAACUUUCUAGCCCUUUUUACAUUUUUAUUGAAAUUAAUAAAUUAAUGUCUUGAAAUGAGAAAAUUGAACUUUGGGUUUCUUUUGUGAGAUGAUUUUCUAUCCUUUGGUUCUUUUUUUCAGUUAAAUAUUAUUUUCUAGUUCAUUUGAAUAAUAGUUUGCUAAGUUACAUGGUAUUAAUCUUAAUCUUGAACUAGAGAUACUUAGCAGGGUAUUAAUCUUAAUCUUGAACUAGAGAAUAUAUAUAUAAUAGAUUAUUUAGUUUAGUACGUAGUUGCAGUAAACAAUAUUCCUUUAAUUCAAAUGCACCUUGAUUAAUCCCAUUUUAACCCGUACCUGUAGCUAUACAUUAUGUCCUUCACUAACCUAAAAUUAAUCAGUUCUUUUUUAAUUCUUCUGAAAAUUCUAUAAAUCAUACAUAGCUGGUAUUAACUGAAAUUUAAGGGAAAAAACUGAGUUUUCAUAAUUUUUAAAAUGAACCGUAAAUUUUCCUAUGUUGAGUGAUUAUGUGGAUUGUUGUACUCCAUUUUCAAUGCUCCUUUGAUUGCGUCUGAUGACUAGAUGCCUAAGUACUGCUUCAUCUCAAAAUUACUAUGUUCAUUGUCUUUUCUUCUAAAAUUUUCAGCUUCUUCAAUUUUAGAUUUUUGAUAUUUCUAUGUGUAUAUAUAUUGACUGAAACAAUAUUUAUUCACGGUGACACGAACUCUAUGCUAGUGUAUAUAAAAACACUUGCCCCAUAUGUUUGCUUCUAGUAGAGACGACAACUGCACAAGUUUGACUGAUACUUGGAUCUAGAGGGAACCACCUAUAGGGAUGUCAAUGGUAUGGAUAUAUGAAAUUUAAUCCGAACCCGAAUCCGAAUGAAACGGAUAUAUUCGAUACUAAAUGGAUAUGGAUUCGGAUAUGAAUAUCAAAAAUAGAAAUCCGACUGAUAUGGAUUCGGAUAUGAAUUUUGACUGUACCCGAUCCAAAUCCGAACCCGACCCGAACUUAUUGAUUUUGAGUCCCUUCGAUCACUGGGCAAAUGAUAUCGAAAAAUCAUAAAAUUUAUUUUCUAUGUACUUCAAAUACUCUAGAUCAAGUUUAACGGAGCAGAUCGACGGUUCGAAAGUUGCAACAUCGAAGACGACCUGGAAGCACGGAAGGCUCCGUGCUUCCAGAAGCAUAGUAGCCUCACUCUAUAUAUAUAUAUAUAUAUAUAUAUAUAUAUAGAGUAUAAAUACUAUGCAUACUACGCGGUAUAUAAGUAGCGAAUAUAUAUAUAUAGAGUCCCGCCGGCUAUACUGCAUACUUGGUAGCACGGAGCGCUUCGUGGGCUACCAAGUUGUUUUCGAUGAUGCGGCUUCCAAAUCGAUGAUGCGCUCCGUUAGACUUGAUCUACACCAUUGAAAGUAUUUGGAAACUAAAUUUCAGAUUUUUUCGACAUCUUGACUAGUGAUCAAAAGAUCUCAAAAUUGACAAUUUUAAUGGCUGAUGUGGUGUGUUUGUGAGUUUAACGGUGUAAAACAAUCCAAAUGCGAUGAAAAUUUUAUAGAAAAUUUUUUUCACUAUUUAGAGUAAGAUCAGUAUAUCUGAUCUUGAAUUUAAAUCUUUUAUCAUUAUUUUUAUGAGAUUUUUAUUUUCAGCCGUCAAUUUAGACUACUUGUUUGAUAGGUAAAUGAUAUCGAAAAAUUAUGAAAUUUAGUUCUUAAUGCUUUUAAUAGUGUAGAUCAAGUCUAACGGAGCCGAUCAUUGAUUGGAAGCCGAUCAUCGAAAACAACUUGGAAGCACGGAGCGCUCCGUGCUACCGAUAAAUAGUAGCCUAGUUCUAUAUAUAUAUAUAUAUUGUCAUGCCCGGGGUCCUUUUUAGUUUGGAAAAACAGCAGAAACGACUAAAAUUUUUUUUUGAAACACCUGACCCCAGAGUAUGUCAGAUCCGCCACAAAUUCAGGGAAUCCACUGUUCACACGGACAGAGUCUCCCCGUAUUUGCACGGCGUCGCACAAGUACAAUUAUACAACCAGAGUACAACCAGAAUACAACCACAACCAUAUGAACAUACAACCUCACCGCACAUACAGACGUCCAUACAUUCACCAUUCACAACACGACGGUAUUCAGUUUUAAACAUAAAUCCAGAUCUAUCAUUUGAAACUUUCCUACCCGGAAACAAGUUUUGAAAUACUAAGUCUCAGAAAUCCAUUGGAAGCUUCUGUUAGACUGUUUUCCACACGGAAACCUUAUCUUUUAAAACACUACCACGAGGGGUAGAAACCAUUGAAAACGUAUCGAAUAUAAAAACCCUUUUCUUUUUAAAACAAGCGCUACCACGAGGGGUAGAAAAUCAUUUUACUUUGAAAAGCCCAUAAAUCUCUUUUUAUCACAAUACGUAAAGCCAGCGAAAAACACAUUACGCAAGUACAGAAAUGAAACUGAACCAUAAAUAAAGUUUACUAUUUAUUCAAGCAGAGGAAAAGAGAUAACCAAACGGGACGGAGCUCUAACGCGCGCUAACUCGUCCUCACCUGUCGUCCGCACUCGGACCUGCGACGUCACACUGUAAUGGGGGCGGGGGUGAGAACAUUGUAAACAUGUCUCCCCCCAGUGGGUACCGCGAGCCGACGAGGGCGAGGGUACGCACCAGCAAAGGAGGCUAAACAACAGUAAGGGUAACAACUACAGUAGCUACUAUGAUAUAAGAACAGAAAGUACAAGUAAGGAACUAAUGUCAAGUAAUGAACUAUUGCUACUGUAUGUAUGCAUCAACUGGUGGAUAGUCCAAGAUACCCAAUCUAAACCUGCCUUGUUGGUCCGGAGACCUCAGGCUUAAUGCCGACAAUCACUCAACCUGUCAUAACCCAGUCGUAACUCUGACUCACGGGUGGGCAAGCCCAACCACUUUUCCGGAAAAGAACACCCCCUGCGGUGGAUCAGACGCUGGUGUCGUGAAAUGCGAACGAGUGGUGACGAUCGAUGCUGAUAUGCUCAAUAGCCAACCGUGCGGCAACCAGCCGACAAUCACUGCCGCCUCUGGCAUACCGAGCCGAUAGGUCAUCAGUAACAACGUGGAACGCCGACCGAUAGUAGGUCAAUGUACGAAAGUAACAAACGACAAAGACAGUCCACAGAGAACAGGAGAACCGACCAACCAGGUCACAGGUAUAGUAUAUACGAAUGCCAUCUACUCUACCCCUACACGAGAAUACUACGCAUAGGACAAGCGGGCAGAGUAAAUAAAGACAGUAUGGUGCAAGGCUCAAAAUGUAAAGAGUAAGCAAUAUGACUAGACGAUGUAAAAGAUAGCGGUAAAGGAAGACAUCACCGAGCGUGCACCACUGUACGACUUUCGGAUCGAAGUACCCACCUGUAUAAACUGAAACGGUCUCGCGAAGGCGGAGACGAAGCGACGACCUACGAAGGGUCCACGCGGUUAGAGUCUAACCCAAAACACAAUAACACACCAUUCUCCACACCAAAUCCCAAAAUCAUAACCCUCGAGAAUCGGUUUUCAAACGCAACUUCCGAACCAGCCGGAAGUCCCGGAAACCGACCGGAACUCCACCGUCGCUCACCCGUCGUUUCUGAAACCCUCGAGACGACACGGUGUGACCAGCCAACAAGGCUCAGCGACGCAACAAUCAACCACGAGGCACCGUCGGAGGAAUUCCGAGUCGAACACGGCGUUCUAUCGGGCGGAGUUCGCCGAAAAACGCUCCGAAAUGACAGUUAGAUUUCCGCAAGGGCUUGGGGCCUUGGACGAUCAGUCCAGAGGUUAUCUUAUAGCCUUAAUCCUCAGCCAAUAGCAGCCACGACGAAGCGAACGCCAAAGGAUCCCUAAUGGCGCCAUGACAAUCACAUACUUUUAUGUGAUUUCAUGGCUCUAACGGCAGUACAGCGAAACCAGGAUCUAACGGAGGUUGCCAUCGCUACUUGCUGCAGUUUCGCGACGCCUGAGGUCGUGCUCGCCCUUUCGGAGCGAUGCAGGCAGCACACGCGCGACGAGCGACCGAACCUCACGCGACUCAGUGUCGCACACUGUGUUGAAAACAGCCUCUUUCUUUUAUUACUAACCAGGGCGUCAUUGGCCUAAUGGAGGUGGAUCAGUGUUCUUCAGCACGAGACCCGUACGGAUCACCGUGCUCACCUCCCGAGGUGCAGUGGAGUCAUCGGUAUCACCGGAAGGGUGACCGUAACGUUAAACAGGCUAGCCGUUUGGAACCAAAUAGACUAUCUGGCACGCGAGUUGUGGGAGCUUAGGAUGCCCCGGCGAUCGGACGGCGGCGCCUCCGGCGGGGAUGAGGAGCAGCUGGUCGGGGAGGUCCGGGGGAGUGUGCUGGCCGGGCGGCGGGCAGCAGCCGGUGGGCUGGGGGCGCGGAGAAUCGGGCCCGCACACUUCCUCUCGGGUUGAGGUUGCCGGCGGGGAGGUCGCGGACCGGGGGAGGUCGCGCGGCGAUAGAUCGGUGCGGAGACGAGGAGGAAGUUGCAUGCGUCAGCCUGCGGAGGCAAUUGCGCUGCCAUAGGUCGGGCCGCGCACCAAAAAACUGGCGCGGCGGGCGGGAAGCCAGCGGCGGCCGGCGGCGUGCGAGGGACGGGGGAUGCACGGCGUCGCGGGUGGUCGGGACGGAGCCAGAUGGAAGGCACCGGCCCGAAGAAGGUGGCAUCGCCCGCAAUCCCGCUCGCCUGGCUCGGUUUGGGCUGACCGGAGCGGCGGCCGCCAAGCUUCCGUCCGGGGCUCGGCGGACGUCGGGGGGUGGCCGGAGCUUGGAGGAGAGGCACGGCCUGAGGUGGAAGGAGGCCGGGGCCUCGGCUUCCAGACGGCCGGGGGGAGAACCCUCCCACAAGCCCUCGGUCUAGAGAUCGGAUGAGGAGGUGGUCGAGGAGAGGAGGAAGCGCUGGCUGCAGGCGUUCCGGGCCGGUGCUUAGGCGGCGCGCCGGAACGGAGCACUCGGCAGGAAGUGUGGGUGCAGGCGGCGUGGGGUUCUAGGCGUUUAGGGUUGGCUCCAAUAAAACCCUAGAUCCACUAUAUUGAAAGGUAUGGAAAUUGCGAAAAGCCCCCUCGAAACGGAAUCGAAUGUAAUCCCAGCUCUUCAACCACAGCGCCAAUGCGCGAUAGUCGCCUCUGAGUUCUAAGAGACUCGCCAAUUUCGAUGCUGAAAAUAUGGGCCUUUUCACGACAUGAUUAGCAUUCUCAGAUCAGGCCCCGCUGUCGCUGACUUUCGCGGAUUCCCGGAAGUCGGUCCGUCGGAUUUCGUUCGAAUCACACCAGCGGAUCAGCAUGGACAGAGGCAUUGAGGAUGGAGCAUUUCGUUUCACCGAAAGGGUUUCCGGAUUCUAGAAGACGAGAAACCGAUGGUCCCUCCAAUGUUCCACAAAAGCCCCGCAUAUUAGGACGAUAUAUGCGCAAAGAAGACCGUAUUGAACCCUUUGCUUCUCGAAAGUCGUGCGAUCCAAAUCCAUGUCCGUUAGAGUGGCCGAUGGGUCCCAGGAUAGGGUCGGCGGUUGAAAAUAGUAUGUUAGAGAGCUAUUAUUCGGAGUCGAUACGCGUCGAAAGUCCACUCGUACUCCGGGCCUUUCCGGCGGAAAAGCGGAGCUACUAUCACUUAAGUGCAAACUUGCUGAGGUCACGUAACUUCUCCGGUUUUAAUCGUUUUCUCCUGAAUCUGACGAGGGUACAUGGUAUAGAUAUAUUACACAAGAAGAACAUCGUCAACAUAGGAGGUGGUUAGACAAUAAAUCAAAAAAUCGUCAGUUAGUUUAGAAACUGAAUAUAUUCAUAGUUGAGCCUAGAGAUACUGAUCGGGUAGUAAACAAGGCAUUUUACUACCGAUUUGAUUUCGGGGAUGAUAGCAACUUCCAAGAUUGACGAGUCGGCUUUCGGUUGAGGUAUGAUCUAUACCACUUUGAAGUGUUUAGAAAUCAAGAUUUAAAUGUCUUUUUCGACAUCAGUUUGCCCUAUGAGUUGCAAAAGGCGCUGUCAAAAGGUUUGUGAGUUUUACAAGGCUCGAUAAGAGGCGUGUUUCUUUGUUUAAACGCGGGUAAAAGAUAUCCAGAAGAUCUAAUGGGAAUGGUUUGUUCAGAAAAGUUCUUUCAAACUAUCUUAAAACAAGAUCUAUACUCUUGAUCUUGAUUACAAGACUCCUAUCAUCAUUUUUUAAAGAGUAUUCAUUUUCGGCCAUUCAUUUUUCUGUUCACUUGAUGGAUAAAAGAACAAUAUCGAAAGUGCGUGAAAUUUGAUUUCUGGGUAGUUUGAAUGGUUUAGAUCAUAUUUAACGGAGCCGAUCGUCAAUUUGGAAGCUCUAUCAUCGAAAAUAAAUUGGUAGUAAAACGGCUCGUUUACUACCGAUAGUAUUCUAGCUCAACUAUAUAUAUAUAUAUAUAUAUAUAUAUAUAUAUAGUCCGGCUGGGAUACUAUCGAUAUCACCAAGCGUUUGGUGCUAUCAAGUUUUUCGUCGUUAGAUUUAACCCUUGACUAUUUUUACCCGUUAGAUUAUAUUAUUAAAUCAAUAACUCACUCAACCCUAGGGGGCUCACAUCAUCAUAAUCGUACAUUUUUUCAUCCAAGAGCCAAAAACCUAAUAGCACCAACAGUUUGGUACUAUUGAUAGCAUUCCAACCUAGUUCUAUAUAUAUACAGAGCUAGGCUGGUAUACUAUCGGUAGCACAGAGGCCUCCGUGUUACCAAGUUGUUUUUAAUGAUGCGGCUUCCAAAUCGACGAUCGGUUCCGUUAGAUUUGAUCUACACUAUUAAAAUAAAGUAUUUGAAAGCUAAAUUUCAUAAUUUUUAUGCAUCAUUUACCUAUCAAACGAGCAGUCAAAAAAUGAACGGCUUAAAAUAAAAAUCUCAUAAAAAAUGAUGAUAAACGACCUGAAUUUAAGAUCAGAUGUGCUAAUCUUACUCUAAAUAGUGAAAAGAAUUUUCUAUAAAAAUUUCAUCAGAUUUGGAUUAUUUUACACCGUUAAAUUGAUAAACGCAUCACAUUUACCAUUAAAAUUGUUAAUUUUGAAACCUUUUGAUCACUAGCCAAAUGAUGCCGAAAAAUUAUGAAAUUUAGUUUUCAAAUACUUUUAGUAGUGUAGAUCAAAUCUAACGGAGCCGAUCGUCCGUGCUACCAAGUUGUUUUCAAUGAUGACGCUUCCAAAUCGACGAUCGGCUCCAUUAGACUUGAUGUACACUAUUAAAAAUAUUUGGAAACUAAAUUUCAUAAUUUUUCGACAUUAUUUAGCUAGUGAUCAAAAGGUCUCAAAAUUGAUAAUUUUAAUGGUAGAUGUGAUGCAUUUGUAAAUUUAACGGUAUAAAACAAUCCAAAUCAGAUGAUAUUUUUAUAAAAAAUUCUUUUUACUAUUUAGAGUAAGAUCAGUACCUCUGAUCUUAAAUUCAAGUCUUCUAUCAUUAUUUUUUAUGCGGCCACGCGGCUGGGGCGCUCGAGGUGACGACGGCGCGCAGGUCCCAAAUGGCGGUAGGGGAGUACCUCGGGGGCGGCCCGAGCGAGCGAUGGCAGAGCAGAAGAAUUACGAGCUCGGCUCCGACCGAGCUGCAGGGAACCGCAGGCACGGCUGCAUGCGCCGGCCUGGCGGCGCUCGGGACGGCUCGGGGAGGCAAGAGACAGACAAACAAGGUCGUUAGGGAGGUGCCACGGUGGCCUCAGGUGGUGCGCGCGGGGAAGAGGUCUGACAGACCUGCUGCAGCCCGGGCUCGGUCGGAAGGCAGCAGGGCGGUUGGUGCGGCCGCGGCUGGCGCUCCGGAACGACUCAGAUGCGGCGGUUCGAUUGAACCGAAGUCGAGGAGGCUGCCUCUAUGUUGGCCCGGCGGCGACGGCGACGCAACGGGAGCGCCGCGCACAGCUGGAGAAGCCCGAGUCGGCUGGAGGUGGCGCAGGGCUGUAGAAUCAAGCUAGCGGCGCGUGGUAACGGCGGCAGGCGACCGACGCCGGGGGAAGCUCGAUGGGGUCAGGACGACUGGGGCAGAGCCUGGAGGCCAACCCAGUCUCGCGGCUCCUCUGCAACCUGAGGAAAAGAGGAGAGAGAGGCAGAGAGAUGGCAGAGUGAAAAGGUGAGGGCAGGCUGGCGGGCCGACCGGGCGGGACUUGGUCAGCGGCGACCGGGGGCACGCGGUAAGGCAGGGGCAGGGUGAAGGUGGCUGGGGGGCAGAGGGAACUAGGGUUAGCGGUUUCCAAGCAGACCACCUAACGCAAAAUAUAUAUGUAAGUGUAUUUUUGCGAAAAGUCUGCAACUUCAACAAUUUAAAUCCUCAGUCCUCAACAGCAUGAGUAAAACGUCAAAGACCCCUCACGUGCGAGUUAUCACGCGAACGGUAACAUAAAAUGUCGCGGACUUUUGCGAAAUUAUCCGUUUUGCCACACGACCUCUCCGCGAUCAACGGUGCCAAUCUCGCGUGAAGAUCGUCUGUCCGAUUUACGUUGAACAGAUCGCGCCAGUGCGAUCAGUACCUCGCGAGACAAUAAGGCUGCGGAGUUUGUGUUCACUCAAACGGUCAGCGGAUUCACGACGAAAUGCGCUUUUUCUCAAAUAGGCCAAAUAUGACGCACACAUUGACAUAUAAACAUGUAUUUUCUAUAUUUUUCUCAAAAUCCGUGCGUCAAACUCAAAAUCCGUCGUGACCAUUGUUCCAGAAUAAGCUGAAACCAGUCGAAACAUCUAUUGGAUUGCACUAUGAACGGAGUCCGCUAUACGCACCAGAGCCAAACUCCGUACUCGUGGCCUUCUCCGGAAAACCGGAGGUUACUAUUAUUAAGUGAAACCUAAAAUCGGCGUAUCUUCUCCAUUUUAGCCCUCAGUUUCUCCUGAACUGAUGAGUGCUUAUGUAAUUAAAUGGACACACAUAAACAUCGUCAACGGAGAGUUAGUUGCAUGUUCAAAAUGCAGUCCUUAGACGUUAGACUUAUCUAGAGCUAUUUGAAGUUUUGGAGAAAUAAACUUAUGCGAUUUUUCAGAUAUCAUUUGCUUAGUGAUCUGAAGUUGGCUCAAAAUCAUACGGCUGAAAAUAAAAUCAUACAAAUAUGAUUGUAUGGCGAUUAAAUUUUAGAUCAAAGUUUAUUGAUCUUUUGUUAUAUACGGUUUUAAGAAUUUUCUAUCAACAAUUUCAUGUGAUUUGAAUAUUUCUCACUUUAAACUUUGCAAACGGUCACCCGUCCGUUAAAUUAUUGAUUUUGAGCUUCAUCACUAGCACAGAUAUGCGAAAAUCAACAAAAAUUUAUUUUUCUAGCGUACUGUCAAUACUCUAGAUUCAACUAUUAACGCAGCGAUCGCUCGAUUCGAACAAGUCCCGAAUAUCGAAAAAACUUGGAGUACUGGAGCGGUUCCGUACUUCAGAAGACAUCCAGCACACUAUAGUAAUAUAUACUAUAUAUAUAUUAUUAUAGAGAGAGAGAGAUGGAGAGAGGAUGAAGAGUGAGAUGAGAAGAGAGAGGUUAGAAGAUUUUCUAAAUCUUGCUCUCCAGUCUCUUGUAUUUUCACGUUGAGCAGAUUGGCCCCAUAAUUCUCGCAUAGAAGGAGAGAGAGAUAGGCUGGUUACUAUACGUAGAGCGUGGGCCUCCGUGCUACCAAGUUGUUUUUCAAUGAUGCGGCCUUCCAAAUCGGAUGAUCGCUUCUGUUAGAUUUGAUCUACACUAUUGAAAUAUUUAGAAAUAUUUGUAUAUUUUUUGAACAUAAUUUCUUAUCAAAGAGAGUAGUCUAAAAUGAAUAAAAUAACGGGCUAAAAAUUAAAUUCUNNNNNNNNNNNNNNNNNNNNNNNNNNNNNNNNNNNNNNNNNNNNNNNNNNNNNNNNNNNNNNNNNNNNNNNNNNNNNNNNNNNNNNNNNNNNNNNNNNNNUAUAGAUAGUAAUAUUAUUAUUAUGAUAUAUAAUAUUAUAAUUAUAGUAUAUAUAUAUAGAUUUAUAGAUAAUAUAUUAUAUAUAGAUAUAUUAUAUUAUAUUAUUAUAGUAUAUAUAGUUUCAAUAAUCUCUCUAAUAAAACUAUAAAAUAUGCUUGCUUUUAUCUUUUUGAAAUCACAAAAACAUAUUUGUAACAUUAACAGUAGGAUUAUUGUUGAUAUAUUUUUUAUUAUAGAGAUCUGCAAACCUUUCACUUUGAUGGUCAUAAUUUUUAGAGUUACAGAACCAAAUUGAAGGUCUGCCACGCGACACUUAGCUGGUUUCUGCUAUCUGUUCUGGAUGGUUUUUCGAGUAUGGCAAUAUAAUGGACUGCUCUAAUUAUAUGCGAACCGAGUACUCUGUCAAUAACCGAUUACUCGAAUGGCUAAUGCUCCAGGGCUGAUCUACACUGCCUCCUCUCCACUGAAACUUAUCAAACUAUACUUAACAUCUAAGAACGACCUGCCUGUUGACUCCUUUACAUGAUCAACUACCUAUCUGAACCGAAUUCCUUUAUACCGGUGCUAUCUGAUGAAUUGGUAUGAUAUUAUCUGUAUUGCUACGUAAGGCGUGAGCUUUGAUAUCCUUAGAAAAUAAUUGGUAAUUACGGUCAAUUGAUCCUACCAGUAAUGAGAUAUCAGGCGUCCUGAAUCUAAAUUAAAUUUAAUGUGGUGAAAUUUAAUAGUCCAAUGUCUGACUAGCUUCAUGAUUUUGAGCACAAUAGUGAUGCAGGCUAGAUCUAGUGGUGUAGACUUGAUGAAGUUUGCUUAUUGCUCGCCUUAUUAGAUAUAGUGUCCUACCUCUCUAGCGAGACAGAAUUUAGAUUCUAACGAAGUCAAGUGUAGUGUGUUUUGAUGUUCCCGUGAAGUGUGAUUAUUUUCUGUGUUGUUUGUUUUGACGUAACUCGGUACUCACUGGAAAGUUAAAUUUCAAUACUGUCGCUUGUUUGUUUUGAUGUAACUUUGGGUGCUGGUAAAAUCGUAGUUUUUGAGUUCCUGUUUGUUUUGAUUUAAUGUAAGUUGGAUCGUCCUCAAUUUAUCCCUAAAUAUAGAUAAUAAAUUUAUCACUUAUAUUAAAUUUAAACCUAUUAUAUAAUAAAGUUUUUUAUUAUUUAUUGCUUAAAGUAAUUCUUAAAUUUAUUAGUAGCAAUUAAAGAAUUCUAACCCAUUAUAAGAAGCUAGAGUGUUAGAUUUACUGUUGAAUAAAUUGUUUUUAGAAAGUUUUGAGUGUGGUUGAUUAGUCGAGUUCGUUACUGUUAGGAGCGGAAGUCGAGAGUAGUUAAUGAUCUCUAACUUAUACUUGAGUUAAUUAUUAUUUUCACUUACAACCGAUAACAAAUAACGUUGGACGUUGAUGGACACUUGAGUGUCCAUCACUCCAACUUUAACAUCCAAGACAAAACGGCGGCCCUUUAGUCGAACCCAUGUACAGACGACUAAUUCGCACAAUUAGAGGAGCUAAUUCGCCUAAAAUUAUUCUCUAAGAAUCGAAGGAUAGAGAUUCAUACUCGAGUCUAGGAUAAGCAAUCUCAGUGAACGUCUAUUCAACCUCAAGCCAAUCUAGGUAGAAAGAGAGAAGAAAAAUAAAGAACAAGAAGAGAUAAAGGAAAAAUCCUAAAAAAGUAAGGUAAAAACUUACACCUCAUAGGAACUUAAGAAGAACCUUUCCACCCGUAAGAAAGGUGCAACCGAACUUAUAAGAAAGCGUCUAAACCUGAGGAAAUGAAGGCAACGUCUGGUUGCUGUGUUGGGAAGAUGAUAUUCCACUUGCGAAAGGAUUGCUUACUUAUUCCGCAAAGAUCUGCGAGCUUCUGUAUUCCAAAGAUACAAGAACGAAGCUCCACCUGAGCGCCUCCAGAUAUAUAUGCCCUGACUGUGGAAGGUCGACUCUCAUGACUCGCACUAUUCGCUCACGUUUUGCCCCGGGGUCCUUUUAGUUUAUAUAACUAGCGGAAAAGGCGUCUGAAAAAUUUUUUUUUGAAAAUGCCUGACCCCCAGAGUAUGCCAGAUGCCGCCAGCAUAAAGCACAGAAUCACUGUUCACCACAACGGUACAGGAGCUCCCCUUAUUUGCACGCGUCACACAAGUACAUAGAAUAACCCAGGACAAUACACAAACCAAAUGAACAUACAAAUAUACAAAACAAUUAUAUAAUUCAUACACAUCACAUCAACAUGUUCAAAUUUAUAUAGUCGAUCAUUAAAACAUAAAUUCACGAUUCUAUCAGUUAAAAUCGUUUCCAAUCACAGAAACGGUUUUGAAAUACUCAAGAUGCAAAAUCACCAGAAAAACUUUGAAAACUGUUAUCCUACAACGAAACCUUUAUUCUUUAAAAAACGCUACACGAGGGUAGAGAAAACGCUUUUUAUUUGUACAGAACCAGAAAUCCCGUUAUUACACUUCACGAUAAAUCCAUAUAUUCAAAAUGUAAUAUGAAUAUACUGAACCAUAAAUACUACUAGAGCAUAACAACUGAAAUAUAAGGUAAUAACUAUACUACCGAAAUAACCUGGGUCGGAAGCCGCUCUAAUCGACCGCUACACAGCGUACCUCACGUCUGCGUCCACUAACUCAUACGCCGGAUAACCUGAAAAAUGUGGGAGGUAAACAGUAAUACAUGUCCCCCCUCGCCAGUGGGUACCGCAAGCCGAUGAAGCGAGGAGUAACUCAACCGAUCCAGGAUAAACUAAAACAACAGUACGGGUCAGUAGAAAAUACAGUACAAGAAUAAUAAAUGAAAGAGACAUAUAUAUGAAAGAAAGUACAACAUCGGCUACUGGCAAGAACAACUGAGCUGUAUACAUGUAACAAAGACCUAUAUAGCAAACAAUGUAACGAAAGAACUAACAAGUCAUGUAUGAAUCAACUCACUAAACUAUAGAUAUAUACUGCAACAAUCGGACAAUUAGUCCAACAGACCGCCAAUCUAAACCGCCGUGUCGUCUAGAUGGACACCCCUUCAGGCAAAGCCACAACGCUGCUCGCACCUUGGCAUGUAACGGCUGCUAGCACAAUAGAGAUACACCGCUGGCUCUACACGGUCCGGAUGUACGACCACUUUUCCGAAAAAGAACACCUCCUUGCGGGGUAUCAACCCCUGGUGUACGUAAAUCCGGCACUCCGAGCUUGGGCGACAAAUGCAGAAUAUGAUCAAUAGCCAGCCAAACGUCGCGGCAACCAGCCGAACAACCACCGCCCCCGGAGGCAGAACCGACCCAAGGUCAUCAAACCUAUAUAAAGCACAAGAAGCCGCCGCACUACUCAGGUCACACUAAGAGGGAACUCACUCAACAUCCUACCGAAGGUACUACAAUGUCCAACUAACAUAUAUGCAACGACAACCGACGAAUAGGGUUCACCAGCAGAAGUAUAACAAUAGACAUCCCGAAUUACGUCGGCCACUAGGCCGACAAUCCAACCCCUCAGGGUAUACCGAGCCUCAUAGUCAUCAAAACACAGACUCACGAAGCUGACUGAACCAGCGUGCACAAAUAGCAAAAAUAGUGAACUGUGUAAACUAUAAUCAAUCCCCGGUGCCCUAACGCGACAAUCCCACCCUAAGUGUAUUACCGACUCAAAGGUCAAUCGAACGAUGUACGAGAAGCGACAAGUCAGGUCACAACGCAAACGAAUACGAGAACGCGACCAAACCAGGUCAAUAGAUACGGAAUGCGCAACCACACCACGACCACUAAGUCCAACAGAUACUCGGAAUGCCAAGCAACAACUGCAAACUAGUCAACAGAUAACCACUAUAGAUAGAACCGCGCACUCCUAACGCAGGAUACUAAGCAUGCAAACAACAUAUGUAUAACGAAUAAACAAGGGUGCAAGCUCAAUAUACUGAUGGCGAUAGAACAACAUAAAAGUAAGGGUAAGAAACCAUCACCAAGCGUGCACCACUGUACCGACGUCGGGUCGAAGUACCCACCUGUACAACUGUCGCGCCUGUCUCCUGACUGCAAAAGAACGUCAACAGGACCGGCCAGGGCAGAGCUAGGGCUGGCCGCCGGCGGCCGGACGGCGAGCGCUUCGGCCGGAGGUGGGAGCAGAUGGUCCAAGGGGUCUGGGGAACCUACUGGCCGGCGGCGGGAGGCGGCCGGUGGCGCGGCGGAAGAGAUCAAUUCCUCCAAGUGGCUCUCGGGUUCAACGCUUCCCGGCGGCGCGGCCCCGGCCCGGCGGCGGGGAGGUCGGCACCGACGGGCGACGACGAUCCUUUCGCGGAGCCGGGGAAGGGUGGUCUCCGCGGUGCGGGCCUGCAGCGCGACAGCGCGAUUGGAGGAAGCCAGCCCGGCCGCCACCAAGUCUGGGCGGCUUGAAGAGCUUCAGGCGGCGGGCCGGCGGUGGUCGGGGACGCGGGAAACACGGCGCGUGAGGUCGACGACAGAAGAGGAGCGGGCGCGGACCGCCUCGGAGGCCGGCCUGCCAGCUCGCGCCGCCACGGUUGACUCGAGCUCGGCCCGAGCAUGGUGCAGCAUGAUUGCCGCAGAUGCGUCCCGACGCGCGCGGCGCGUGCGGACGCCGACGGAUGCAGGGAGCGGCGCCGCUGGAGAUUCGGAAAGGGUGUCAUCCAUCCAAGCGGAUAGGAGGCGACGAGGAGGAGAUUCACAACCUCGGCACUGUACCAGUUGGCCCCAUCCUGCGCGGCGGACGUGCGCGCUCCGGGCGGCCGGGCGCUGAUGAUGCUGGAGAAGGCGUCUCGACCAGAGGUUCAAGUCUCGACAGGGAUGGUCACCCCUCGAGCUCAAAGACAAAGAAGUCAUGGUGCUAGUGGAGAUAUGUUAGAGGAGAGGCCGAUCCGCGUGUUCCCGGCGGCCGUGGGAAGUCGCCGCGCCGGGGCCGCUCCCUUGCUAGGCAUGACCUGUAGAUGCGGCUAGGCGCACAGCUGGCGCUGGUUAGUAGAUCUAGUUUCGUGCAGAGAAACCUAGAUACAUGUAUACAAAGUGCAUUUGCACAAAUCCACCGAACUACAAAUUUCAACCCUAGUCUUCACCAAUGGGUAAUACCGCGCUUUUGCCACUCCACAAUCAUCUCCGCAUUUCGUACAUAAAAUAUAUACGACUUUUGGCGAAUUUCCCGAUUUCCACUCUCGAACCCUUAUGCGAGACUUAUUGCAAUUCCCAAGAGAUCCAUCCAUCGACGAUUUCCGAACGGAUCACAGCCAACGCGUUCAGCACGUCGAGGCAUCGAAUCUAGCAUUUCGUUUCGUCCGAUUUGAUCUCCGAUUCACGACGAAAUCCAUUCUCUCUCCAAAAGGCCAAAAUGAUGCACAAUUACAUAAGAAACAUGUAUUUUCAGAUUUUCUCGAAAACCGUGCAUCAGAUCUAAAAUCCGUCAGCGCCAGUAGUUCCAGAAUAGCUGAACCAGUUGAAACGAGCUAUUGGAUCGCUAUGAAUGGAGUCUGAUACGCGUAGAAAGCCAACUCUACUCCGUGGCUUCACCGAAAAACCGGAGUUACUAUUCACUUAAGUGAAAACUAAUAAUCGCGUAACUUCUCCGUUUUAGCUCAUUUUCUCCUGAAACUUGACGAGUGCUUAUAUAGUUAAAUUACACACAUAAACAUCAUCAACAGAGAGUUUAGUAGCACUGUCAAAAAAUCUCAGUCCUUACAACUA